GACGAACGCUGGCGGCGUGCUUAACACAUGCAAGUCGAACGGAAAGGCCUGCUUUCCCUUGUGGACUGCGGGUACUCGAGUGGCGAACGGGUGAGUAACACGUGAGUGAUCUGCCCCCAACUUGGGUAUAAGCCUGGGAAACUGGGUCUAAUUCCCGAUAGGACUGCAGGGUGGUGCCUGUGGUGGCAAACGAUUUUCUAGUGGUUGGGGAUGAGCUCGCGGCCUAUCAGCUUGUUGGUGGGGUAAUGGCCUACCAAGGCGGCGACGGGUAGCCGGCCUGGGAGGGUGGACGGGCACAGUGGGACUGAGAUACGGCCCAGACUCCUACGGGAGGCAGCAGUGGGGAAGAUUGCACAAUGGGCGGAAGCCUGAGGCAGCGACGCCGCGGGGGGGAUGACGGCCUUCGGGUGGUAAACUCCUUUCGACCGCGAGGAAGCCACCUGGUUGGAAGGGUGGUGACGGUAGUGGUAGAAGAAGCACCGGCUAACUACGUG
RNAcentral lists this ribosomal RNA (494 nucleotides) under uncultured bacterium. RNAcentral describes it as "partial 16S ribosomal RNA". It matches the Rfam family "Bacterial small subunit ribosomal RNA", at positions 28 to 507 of the family's 1533-position model. The record is from RNAcentral.